This 660-nucleotide ribosomal RNA is filed under the name uncultured bacterium. RNAcentral's name for it is "bacterial SSU rRNA". The stretch from base 1 to 542 matches the Rfam family "Bacterial small subunit ribosomal RNA", at positions 338 to 873 of the family's 1533-position model. The record is from RNAcentral.
CCUACGGGAGGCAGCAGUAAGGAAUAUUGGUCAAUGGACGAAAGUCUGAACCAGCCAUGCCGCGUGAAGGAUGAAGGCCCUCUGGGUUGUAAACUUCUUUUAUCUGGGACGAAAAAGCUCAUUCUUGAGCACUUGACGGUACCAGAGGAAUAAGCACCGGCUAACUCCGUGCCAGCAGCCGCGGUAAUACGGAGGGUGCAAGCGUUAUCCGGAUUCACUGGGUUUAAAGGGUGCGUAGGUGGGUCUGUAAGUCAGUGGUGAAAUCUCCGAGCUUAACUCGGAAACUGCCAUUGAUACUAUAGGUCUUGAAUCAUCUGGAGGUAAGCGGAAUAUGUCAUGUAGCGGUGAAAUGCUUAGAUAUGACAUAGAACACCAAUUGCGAAGGCAGCUUACUACGGGUGUAUUGACACUGAGGCACGAAAGCGUUGGGGGAGUACAACAGAGUAGUAUACCUACGUAGUACACGACCGUAACCGACUAGAUACUACGACAUACAGCGAUACACUGUUGGUUGUCGUGAGCGAAGACGAUAAGUUAAUACCUACCCGUACGGUAACGGUAACGGACCGACCGACGGUUAGUAACGUACGAACUAAGUAAGUUAGUACGGACGUAGAGACGUUACGACGACGGACGGACGACGACGGGGAGGGUAGGGAG